GAGCAGCAGACCGAGCAGGAUGCUGAUCAGCAGCGGCAGCAGGAAGGACAUGGCUCCGCUUCGGUCCGGUCCAGGACGGGACGCUGAGCUCUGAUCGGACGGAGAUACGAAGCAUGAAACUCCAGCAGGUGACCUGACCUCGUCUCCGUUCUCGUCCUUCACCACCUGCUGAGCCGUCAUGACCUCCGUAGCAGCGAUGGCCGACGCCAGAGCCUGGAAAACCAAGGCAGACAUCAGGAAGCUCUCUGGGAUCAGGACCGAUCAGGGAAAACGGUCCGAUCGGAUCCGAACAACACAUCUCUUAACGGCCAUCUGGAAGGUGAAGCUGAUGACGCCUCGGAUCUUCAGCAGUGCCUCCUCACACAGGCUGCGCCGACCCUG
Long non-coding RNA from Gambusia affinis (western mosquitofish), 381 nucleotides. RefSeq lists it as uncharacterized. NCBI's taxonomy places the organism in Eukaryota, Metazoa, Chordata, Actinopteri, Cyprinodontiformes, Poeciliidae. The transcript is spliced from 3 exons. The record is from RefSeq and is a predicted model, not a curated record.